This 492-nucleotide ribosomal RNA is filed under the name uncultured bacterium. RNAcentral describes it as "partial 16S ribosomal RNA". It matches the Rfam family "Bacterial small subunit ribosomal RNA", at positions 28 to 507 of the family's 1533-position model. The record is from RNAcentral.
GACGAACGCUGGCGGCGUGCCUAACACAUGCAAGUCGAACGGCAACACCCUACGAGCUUGCUCUUACGGGUGGCGAGUGGCGGACGGGUGAGGAAUACACCGGAACCUACUUUUUCGUGGGGGAUAACGUCGGGAAACUUUCGCUCAUACCGCAUACGACCUACGGGUGUGUGCAGAGGAUCUUCGGCCCUUGCGGGUUUGAUUGCGCCGGAGUCGGAUUAGCUUGUUGUCGGGGUCAAGGCCCACCAAGGCGACGAUCCGUAGCUGGUCUGAGAGGGUGAUCAGCCACAGUGGAACUAAGACGAGGUUGAGACUCCGACGGGAGGCAGCAGUGGGGAAGAUGGGACAAUGGGCGGAAGACUGAUCGAGGCAUAACGCGGGGGUGAAGAAGGCGUGAGGGUGGUAAAGGCCUUUUGUUGGGAAAGAAAAGCAGAAGAUGAAGACGCCGCUGUGGUGACGGUAGCCAAAGAAGAAGCACCGGCUAACUACGUG